Molecule: long non-coding RNA, 253 nt
Organism: Oncorhynchus nerka (sockeye salmon)
Lineage: Eukaryota; Metazoa; Chordata; Actinopteri; Salmoniformes; Salmonidae
Exons: 3
Source: RefSeq, a predicted model, not a curated record
GCAGGAGCAAAAGUCUGGCAGACAAUCACCAACGGCCUUUUUUCGUUCCGACAUACAGCCCUUUAUGAUAAAGGAUGCGUUAUGGACAGCUGACACGCAGGACUUUGAUGCAAUUCUACCGUUCACUGUGGCCCAAGUACACUGCUCAGAAUCAAGCCCACCCGAAAACUACUGUUGGGCCGGGAACUUGCUGCUUCACGAGCCGGCGCUCCAGGGACAAGACUGCCCGGAGACAGACCCAGCAGAAUCUGGG